Molecule: long non-coding RNA, 6274 nt
Organism: Salvelinus fontinalis (brook trout)
Lineage: Eukaryota; Metazoa; Chordata; Actinopteri; Salmoniformes; Salmonidae
Exons: 4
Source: RefSeq, a predicted model, not a curated record
GUUGUCACCAUGGUGUGGUAUCUUCAUGGUGGUUUAUAGGGUUCAUUCAUUCUUUCUUCAAUGACAAAGGUAAGUUCUUUGUGUUCUUGUAGAUUGAGUCACACGGCUAUCUUCUGGCUGAAAAGAGAACUGUGAACAUAGGCACACACCUGACACCUGGUGUGUUCAGCAGACACUGUAUGACAGUCUUUGUUUAUAUGAAGAGAAUGGGGUCAUGUUGACACGUUUUAGGAUCCACGUGAGCUGUUGGAUAAUGUCAUACACUUUUUCGACAGUUUGACAGCUGGAGCCUUUUGAUGUUGAGUAUCCCAUGCUCUAACAAUCUAACCUUGAGGUGAUGGUGGAAGACCAUAGGUUUCUUCAUUCUCUCUGAACUAUAAUUCAUCCUCCUUAUUCAUACAUGCUACACUAAAUAUAAUACUUGCUAUAUAUAGUCUACCACAGUAUGAGUCAUAAUACCCAAUAAACUUAGCGGUCAAACAGAAAUUCAUUCAUUCAUUUUAUCCAUCGUGGAUUUUGGAAACACUUCAAAUAAGAGUUGUGUUUCGUGUAGGCUUAUCUUGGCGUGAAGUUUUGAUAACCAUGUAAAUCUCUCUCGGACAAGGUGACUUUUAUCAGUAUAUUCACCUCUAUUUACCCCUCAAAAAUGUAAUGCUAAUUAGCUGCUAAUGUGGCUAUCAUACAGAAUUACAAAUGCCUGUCUCAAGCUUCACGUCACUCACCAGGGCCAUGAUGAUCUGGACAAGACUGCCGAAUCGAGGCAAAGAACCAAUGGGUGUGCCUGAGUCUUAUCACCUCUCAACUAGGUUAGCUGUUUCAACCUGGAACAGUAUUCCAGGUUUAUAUAUAGCGCAUGCUCCACUCUCAAGUUGAAGUUGAACUUGUUGACUGAUGCCAUGGCGGCUUCUGCUAAAAAGAAGGGAGCAGCUGCGAACCAGAAGACUGCAUCCAGGGCAGCCCUGGUCCACACCUGCCCUGUUUGUCAGAGGCAGACCAGAAGACAUUCAAGCAGCACUUUGAGAGCAAGCAUUCCAAGUCUCCAAUGGCCCCAGUACUGGUUGAUGUGCAGGCCUAUGUAACCACACACACUCAAAUGGACCUACAGCUGGGACACACGAUGACCAGGAUUUGAGUGCUGCAACUGAAACGGAAUGACGUCAAGGGACACGCUGAGACCCUGAGUAUGACAGGACAUGGGGCAGAUAUUUGUGACAACGAUUUAAAAGGGCUGCAGGCACACUAGCACCCCAUUGGUAUCUUUAUUCCAUGACCAAUCUUCUCUCUAGCUACCCCUUAUUCCACACUAUGCCUUUUAUGCCCCAUGGUCCCUCAACUUUGGACACUUUGGAACUUUCCAUCUUAUCUCUAUAAACGCAGCCUACCUUCACCCAUUUUCCCUAUGCUGCUUUCUUCACUUGUUGUUCGUCUGAUUUGAUAACAUCUAGACUCAGUAACAUGUUUAAAAGUUUUGUGGUGUACUGUUUUGCUACCAUUUUCUCCUGUGUAGUGCUGUCCUCCUGCUUUUCUGGGGUUCAGACUGAAUGCAGUGGUAAAUGUGCUGCUCACAAAUGACAGCAGCAACAUGGACCUGUUCAAUUGACAAGAAGGGUGUUGAUAUUGCUGUGUUUAAAGAUGGCUUCCUUAUUUUGAGUCUGUUAAUGGUGUUUCUCCUUCUGCUGGAGUUGAUCUAGUAUUUUCUAUAAAACCUACCUUAGGCAUUACAUUUGUCCAUUUGUAACUCACCCAUCACAAUCACAAUAUGCUGCUUUAUAUUUUGUGCUGGUGUCAGCUAGAGAUGACGUGCAGGAGUUUGCAGGGAUUUGUAGUCUUGUAUGAUGUCGACUUUUAUGCUAAUUAGCUUUUUCGAAUCUGAGAGUAAAUAGAGCUGAAUAUAUUGAUGAAAGUCACCUUGUCCGAGAGAGAUUUACAUGGUUAUCAAAACAUCACUCCAGGGUACGUCUACACGAAACACAACCCUUAUUUGAAGUGUUUCUCAAAUCCACAAUGGAUAAAAUGAAUGGUGGAAAAACAACUGGAACCAUUUCCAUGUUUGACCGCUAAGUUUUAUGGGUAUUAUGACGCAUCCACUGUGGGGCUCAAUUGUCUGUUCACCAAGAGGAGAUAUCUUUAUAUUCCAUGUCUGCCAUCUAGUGGUAAUGGAGGUUUUGUUCUCACUCGAAUACUGUAUGAUUUGGUGAUGUAUUCAUACACAUAUUUACUCUACUUUGUUAAUGUGUUUCAUCUAACCUCAUGACCAAAAACAGACAUUGCUCUUAAUGUCAUAACCCUCUGAAGUCUUCAGUGGUGUUAUGUGGACUGUGUCCAUGUGCAUCCCAUAGGAAGUGCACCCCUAUUGAUAAAACUAACCUAAAUGUAUGGCUGUAUUGGACAUGUGAGGCAUGCACUUCUAUGUUUCCGUUCCACUCUCUGGAUGAUCUGGAUGAUUCCGACUGUGUAUCUCUCUUAGUUGGGCAGGAUAUCAACCCUGAUAAACAUGGUCUUUAACCCAUUAGAUAUUAAUGAAGCCAAAAAUAAAUAGAAUGAUUGGGUUGAUCCUGACAAAAAUGCCCUGAAGAUUACCAGAAGUAAGUCUAUGACUUGUGGUUACUAUAAUGUUAAGCAAUUUAACAACCUGUAAAGAGGACACGUGAUUCUGACAUUAGUAGUUUGUUUCAUUGAUAUCCUUGUGUCAACCUUGGAUUUGAUUAAUAUUGAAGAUAAAUGUGUAUAUUAGGUGAUUACAACAUUAAUGUAUUUAAAAGUGAGAACCACUCACUGCAUCUGAUUUCAGCCAUCUGUAUCCCCUCAUCUAUGAUCCCACAAGAGUGACCAGUUCAUUUUCAUUUUUAUUGAUCAUAUUUUUACAAAUUAUUUGAAUAAUGUGGCUAAUACAGGUAUACUUUAUACUGACAUUUCUGACCACUUUCCAAUUUUACACUUCUCUUUGGCAGCUGGACAUGAACAGACGGGAAUGAUUAAUGACGUUAAAUGUAAAAUAUUUAACAAAAGUAAUUGUGAGCGUUUUAAGAUGUUGAUUGAUGAUAUUUCAUGUUUAUAAUCAGGCCGAUGUAGAAUCUGCUUACCUGACUUUUCUCACAUCUUUCAACUCUGUAUUUCACCACUGCUUUCCCUUAGUUAAACCAUGUAAGAUAGCAGCAGAGGGGUUCUGGAAACCUUGGUUUACAACCAGUCUAAAAAAAAUACUCAGUAAAAAAAACAAGUUGUAUAAAAAGUUUCUCCUGAAUUCUGCAAAUUACAAAAAAUAUAAGAACAAAUUUCCUCACCUACUUCGGAUGUCCCCCAAAAUAUAUUUUACUAACAAAUUCCAAGAAUCCUUAAAUAAUAUAAAGUCAUCUUGGAAAAUCAUCAAUCAACUGUUGAAUAAGAAAAAUGCAUCUACAGCUAUCCCAUCUUAAUUUAUUGUUGGAAAUAAGAUCUAUAGUGAUCCUGAUGUUACUUCAUGUGAAGUGAAUAACAUUUUGUGAAUGUGGGUUCAUCUCUGUCAAAGAAAUUGAAAAAACUGAUGAAAAUUCCUUGGAUUACAUUAAGGGACAUAUCCCUUCUCUGCUUCAGUUUGAUCCUCCUGAUGUAAUGGAGGUAAUUGGUAACUUAAAGAUAUCAGCAGCAGGUCAUGACGAGAUUGGUGCCUCUGGUGAAAUCAGUGUCUUCCUUGAUUACUGAACCUCAAAAGUAUAUCUUCACCAAAUCUGGUAUUGUUCCUAAAGAUGAGAAAAUUGCCAAAGUUAUCUCCCGCUAUAAAUCUGAAGAUUCAAUAACUUUUACAAAUUAUCGCCCAAUAUCUGGACUACCAUGUUUUUUUAAAUCCUAGAAAAAUUGGUAUAUAAGAGAAUGUUCAAAUAUUUAAUUCAACACUGUAUUGAGCACCAAUAUGGUUUUUGUAAAAACUACUCCACAGAUAUGGCCCUUUUGCAACUUGUGGAUAAAAUCUGUACAGCCCAUAACAACAAUGGAUACGCUCUUGACAUUUAGAUCUAUCCAAAUGGUUUGACACGGUUGAUCAUGAAAUAUGACUUUCUAAAUUGCAUUAUUACGUUUUUCAUGAGUACCCAGUACCUGUCAAAAGUUUGGAAACACCUACUCAUUCAAGGGUUUUUCUUUAUUUUUACUAUUUUCUACAUUGUAGAAUAAUAGUGAAGACAUCAACACUAUGAAAUAACACAUGGAAUCAUGUAGUAACCAAAAAAGUGUUAAACAAAUAAAAAAAUAUUUUAUAUUUGAGAUUCUUCAAAGUAGCCACCCUUUAUCUUGAUGACAGCUUUGCACACUCGUGGCAUUCUCUCUGCCUUCUCCCAUAUCCACAGAUAUCCUCUCUGGAGAUCGUAGAACCUUCCAGAAGAACAACCAUCUCUGCAGCACUCUACCAAUCAGGCCUUUAUGGUAGAGUGGCCAAACGAAAGCCAGUCCGCUUAAAGUUUGCCAAAAGGCACCUAAAGGACUCACAGACCAUGAGAAACAAGAUUCUCUGGUCUGAUUGAACUCUUUGGCUUGAAUGCCAAACAUCACGUCUGGAGGAAACCUGGCACCAUCCCUACGGUGAAACAUCGUGGUGGCAGCAUCAUGCUGUGGGGAUGUUUUUCAGCGGCAGGGAUUGGGAGACUAGUCAGGAUAGAGGGAAAGAUGAACGGAGCAAAGUACAUAGAGAUCCUUGAUGAAAACCUGCUCCAGAGCGCUCAGGACCUCAGACUGGGGGUGAAGGUUCACCUUCAAACAGGACAACAACAUUAAGUACACAGCCAAGACAACACAGGAGUGGCUUCGGGACAAGUCUCUGAAUGUCCUUGAGGUGCCCAGCCAGAGCCCGGACCCAAUCAAACAUCUCUGGAGAUACCUGAAAAUAGCUGUGCAGCAACUCUCCCCAUUCAACCCCACAGAGCUUUCGAGGAUCUACAGAGAAGAAUGGAAGAAACUCCCCAAAUACAGGUGUGCCAAGCUUAUAGCGUCAUAUCCAAGAAGACUGGGCUGUAAUUGCUGCCAAAGGUGCUUCAACAAAGUACUGAGUAAAGGGUCUAAAUACUUAUGUAAAUGUGAUAUUUCAGUUUUAAUUUUUUAUACAUUAGCAAAAAUGUAUAGCGACCUGUUUUUGCUUUGGCAUUAUUGGGUAUUGUGUGUAGAUAUUUAAUGCAUUUAAGAAUAAGGCUGUAACGUAACAAAAUGUGGAAAAAGUCAAGGGGUCUGAAUAUUUUCCGAAUGCUUUGUAGUUAUGUUAAUGAUAGAGCACAAUUUGUUCAUACAAACGGCUGUGCAUCUUACAAACGGCUGUGCAUCUGUGGCGUACCACAGGGUUUGAUAAUUGGACCUUUGAUAUUCCUGAUCUACUGUAUAUCAAUGACCUAGCUACUGUGUCUUCUACCGUACCUCCCAUUGUCUUUGCUGACAAUACCAAUUUGAUUUUUCACACCAUAUUUCUAUUCACCAAUUAAUGAAGCCAACUCAGUCAUGAACACCUUUUCUGAAUGGUUCCAGGUAAACAAAUUAUCUUUAAAUGUAAAAAAAUCUACCUUUUUUGCAUUCACUCAUGAGAAUAAGAUAUUUUUAAAUAUUGUAUAAAAAAAAAAGAGCCAGAAUCUCAAUUGGUGGGAAUAAAAUUUAACAAUUCACAUCCACUAGAUUCCUCUGUUCUAGUUGACGAAAAGUUAUCCUUGAAAGAUCCUAUUCAAUUUGUCUGCAGCAAAGUGAUGCUGUUGUUAUCAUCAGAAAGAUUAGCGGUUUGGUUCAUCAGGCUUGCUUCCUAACUCUAUACUAUAGCUUAAUUUACCGAUAUCUCAUUUACUGUAGUAUUGCCUGGGCCAGUACAUAUGCCUCCUUCCUACACAAAUUACUCAUCAUACAAAAGACUAGCCACCUCUCUAAUUACCUGGCUCCAUCUGCACCUUUUGUUGAAGAAAGUCAAUAUCUUGUCUAUUUGUAAUGUUAAUGUAUGCCAAUUAUGCACUUUCAUCUACUUUCAUGUACAUAUACUCAUACUUCCCAGCCAGUUUACCUAAACCCUUCAAUUGAUUUUUCCAGGUUAAUUCUGAAAUCCAUCUAUUUGACACAAGACACUGCGAUAACCUUCAGCCUCCCCACUGGCGCACCUCACAUAGUCAAUUCUCUAACAGAUACAGAGGUACCAUACUCUGGGAUUCUUACCUUGCCAAAACCUCAUCAUCCCUCAAUAACUUCAAGCGAAGACUGGGGGUCAGCCUGGUGAACCAAACUACCCAAUAAUCCCCUACCAUGUAUCCUAUCUCUCUCUUUCUCACACACUCAAUCA